UGUUGUUGUUCUGGUUGCUGGUCUCGUUCUUGUCCUUGUGGCUGGGUCUGGACUGGGUUACCUCUGCAUACGUCUCUGUUGCAGUGUCAGCCAGCGUAAGCCAGGAUGGCAUGCAGAUUGUUUUAAUUUGCACUGGGGACUGUCUUUGGCUCUAUGAAUAAGAAAGCAUCUUUAAAUACUCCCUGCCUCUACUGAGCUGAGUGCUCCUCGUUUCCAGCUCUGCAGUGCAUGUAUGCGCUUGGCCAGCAGGAUCAAAGCUGGGCCUACAAGGCAAUCUUCCCUGACCGCGCCGUUAACAUGUUGUAAGAUAUGGAGCUGUUUGUGCCUGAAAGCCUGAGCAGACCCCAAA
Molecule: long non-coding RNA, 349 nt
Organism: Gymnogyps californianus (California condor)
Lineage: Eukaryota; Metazoa; Chordata; Aves; Accipitriformes; Cathartidae
Exons: 3
Source: RefSeq, a predicted model, not a curated record